GUAUUAAUAAUAAAUGCCCAAGGCUCUAUUGAAAAUAAACAACCUUAUUCCUUUUUGCUUCUUAAUAGCCAAAGCCCUGAAAUUCACAUUUGUACAACGAUGGCUCUAAAAUGCAUCCUGACAGAUGGAUACUUCUUGAGCUGUCAUAAGGCGAUGAAGAAAAUCCAGUCAAAUGUGUGGGUUAAGUCGGCAGUGAGCAAUCAUCAUUGUGAACCGUGUUAUGAACCAAGGCUCCAGGUCUCUUCAUUGUUACCCUGCUUCCUGGCAGCGUGGGAUGGAAAGCGUGUGCAGGAAACACAGUCACAAUGUGGUUUCACACGGGAGCUCAGGUUGCCUCCCGUGAAUAUGCACGACAAGCCUUGAUCUCACUCUGGCUACUUGAGUUUUCUUGAGCUUCACUUAACCCCCACAAACCCAUUUCCUGCCUAUGAUUCGAAGAUGUUCCUUGAGGAGGUUUGAAAAACAGGCAAAUGCCCACACGUAUCAAAACAUUUUAAGGAAAGUCAUCAUAAACCCCUGGAUGAUGAAAGGGCAACAGAAAAACUACAGUGCCUGGUACUGGAUCCCCAUAUAGCAGAUUCCAGAUUUUACAGAUUGAAUUCACAUCAAGCCUACUUUUUAUUUCUCUACUUAAGGACAACAAAUAUUUACUAAAUGAG
Non-coding RNA from Vicugna pacos (alpaca), 659 nucleotides. The record is from RefSeq and is a predicted model, not a curated record. NCBI's taxonomy places the organism in Eukaryota, Metazoa, Chordata, Mammalia, Artiodactyla, Camelidae.